GACGUCUUCCUUAAUCCAGAACGAAGGUGGGUGGAGCAAAGACGAUCAGAUACCGUCGUAGUACCGACGGUAAACGCUGCCGACCGGGCCGCGGACGAGGCUCGAGAACAGCGGUUAUGGACCCGUCCGUGGCGGCUUCGGGCAACCUGAGAGUUUACGGGUUCCGGGGGUAGUAUGGUCGCAAGGCUGAAACUUGAAGGAAUUGACGGAAGGGCACCACAAGGAGUGGAGCCUGCGGCUUAAUUUGACUCAACACGGGGCAACUUACCCGGUCCGGACAUCGUCAGGAUUGACAGACGCUCGUGCAGUUCUUUCUCGAUUCGAUGGGUGGUGGUGCAUGGCCGUUCGUGGCUGGUGAAGUGAAAAGUCUGGUUUAUUCCGCUAACGGGCGAGGCCUCGCCCUUAACUAGUCGGCUCGUGGUUCUCGAAUCGUAGUCUCCCUUCGGGGAGCAGGGAGAACAUCGGGCGAGUCGCAGCGAUCGUCGCUACUUCUUAGGGGGAUCCCGAGCAAGCUUAAGCUAGGUGAGAGAGAUCAAUAACAGGUCAGUGAUGCCCUUAGAUGUCCGGGGCCGCACGCGCGCUACACUGAAGACGAAAGCGCGAGUGCCUACGGUCUUGGUUUGGUCAGGCCGGGAACCCGCCCCGAGAGGGGAGGUUGGGGCUGUUCCUUCACGGGGGCAGUCUCGCCUACUGCGGGUUAACCGUGCCAAUCGUCUUCGUGCUGGGGAUCGGGGCUUGCAACUCAGCCCCGGAACGAGGAAUUCCGAGUAGGCGUCCGUCAUCAGCUGCGCCGAU
This 795-nucleotide non-coding RNA is filed under the name Lottia gigantea (owl limpet). Its description in RNAcentral is "Eukaryotic small subunit ribosomal RNA". It matches the Rfam family "Eukaryotic small subunit ribosomal RNA", at positions 963 to 1645 of the family's 1831-position model. Lineage: Eukaryota; Metazoa; Mollusca; Gastropoda; Lottiidae. The record is from Rfam by way of RNAcentral.